GAUGAACGCUAGCUACAGGCUUAACACAUGCAAGUCGAGGGGAAACGACAUCGAAAGCUUGCUUUUGAUGGGCGUCGACCGGCGCACGGGUGAGUAACGCGUAUCCAACCUGCCCACCACUUGGGGAUAACCUUGCGAAAGUAAGACUAAUACCCAAUGACGUCUCUAGAAGACAUCUGAAAGGGAUUAAAGAUUUAUCGGUGAUGGAUGGGGAUGCGUCUGAUUAGCUUGUUGGCGGGGUAACGGCCCACCAAGGCGACGAUCAGUAGGGGUUCUGAGAGGAAGGUCCCCCACAUUGGAACUGAGACACGGUCCAAACUCCUGCGGGAGGCAGCAGUGAGGAAUAUUGGUCAAUGGGCGAGAGCUUGAACCAGCCAAGUAGCGUGCAGGAUGACGGCCCUAUGGGUUGUAAACUGCUUUUAUAAGGGAAUAAAGUGAGUCUCGUGAGACUUUUUGCAUGUACCUUAUGAAUAAGGACCGGCUAAUUCCGUGCCAGCAGCCG
RNAcentral lists this ribosomal RNA (502 nucleotides) under uncultured bacterium. RNAcentral describes it as "bacterial SSU rRNA". It matches the Rfam family "Bacterial small subunit ribosomal RNA", at positions 28 to 517 of the family's 1533-position model. The record is from RNAcentral.